AGCUGAGGCGGCCAACAACGAAGGGAAAAUAACCCUAGUUGCUGUCCUCAUUUCCAGCAGCCACACAAAACCCUUAGAAGAUCCGAGCUCGAGUGGAGCACGGUGACCUGCCGAUACUCGGAGAUUUUUGCUGUAUAUAAGUUUUACAGACACAGGGAUCCUUGUGAUAUUAUAGUUGAUUUUGGACUUUCAUAGAGUUGCUCAGAGAUAUCGACGUGCUGAUUUUCUGGUUUGUUUUACUUUUGUUUCGCUGUAUUUACAUUUUGCACUUUUGUUACAGAUGU
Long non-coding RNA from Zingiber officinale, 284 nucleotides. RefSeq lists it as uncharacterized. The transcript is spliced from 3 exons. The record is from RefSeq and is a predicted model, not a curated record. NCBI's taxonomy places the organism in Eukaryota, Viridiplantae, Streptophyta, Magnoliopsida, Zingiberales, Zingiberaceae.